RNAcentral lists this long non-coding RNA (24570 nucleotides) under Medicago truncatula (barrel medic). Its description in RNAcentral is "long non-coding RNA (MTRU_LNC005832)". The stretch from base 22761 to 22931 matches the Rfam family "MIR2619 microRNA precursor family". The record is from RNAcentral. Lineage: Eukaryota; Viridiplantae; Streptophyta; Magnoliopsida; Fabales; Fabaceae.
AAAUUUGUAUUGAAAUUUAGAUGUGACUCAUUGCGUGCAGUCACACUACACACAAUCCAAAUCGGAGUUUUAGAUACCCUAUAUACCUCACUCUGUGUAGGCUCAAUAUUACUUUUGCUUGAACAAUAUCCUACAAUACAAUGAAUCGUCAUGAGUUUGACAUCGCUCUUCAUUUGGCUUUGACAGAGCUAAGAAAUUUUUCAUGGACUACAUGGCAGCCAUUAGUCUCACCAUGCUUGUUGGAACAUGUAACUUUACCUCUAGAGUUUGGCUUUCUUGUGAUAUUGUUAGUCCAAUUCAUAAGAAAUUGCAUGAACAACAUCACCAAGCAAAACAAGGUCUCAGAAGUGCAUCCAAAUUGCAUAAAAUUUGGUUUUCCUUACAAAAUAAGCUUAGCUUGCACCACUUCAUUGUUGGCUAUUCAUGCCUUAAUGCUAAUAUUGAUGCUCAAUCAUGAGCCUCAGUGUACUUCAAAACUUCAAACUUAUACAUCAGAGAUCAUUCAAGUGUUAUCUUCUGCGACUAUUCUAAUAGCAAUAUGCAAGAUGUCAAAAACAAAUGCUAAUUUCCAUUGGAUUGUAAGGCUUUGGUGGUUUUUCAGUUUCCUUUUGAGCAUUAUCAGCACAGCCCUUCAUGUCCAUUUCAGUAUAAAAAACAAGGGUGUUAUUGGUAUAAAAGAAUAUGCAGAUUUCCUUGGUUUGGUUGUUUCAACAUGUCUGUUAGUUGUUUCAACAAGAGGGAAAACAGGCAUAGUCAUCAUUGCAACAAAUGGUAGCAUAUCUGAACCACUUUUGGAAGAGAAAAAUGAGAAACAUUCUUCUGAGUGUCUAAAAGAAUCACCAUAUGGAAAAGCUACAAUUUUUCAAUUGAUAAAUUUCUCAUGGCUCAAUCCGUUGUUUGCGGUAGGGUAUAAGAAACCUCUUCAAUUGGAUGACAUUCCUAAUCUUGACAUCAAGGACUCUGCUGAAUAUCUAAAUUGCGCAUUUGAUGAGAGUCUUAGAUAAGUUAAGGAAAAAGAUGGAACUACAAAUCCAUCUAUCUACAAGGCAAUCUAUUUAUUUGCUAGAAAAAAAGCGGCAAUCAACGCGCUUUUUGCAAUAAUAAGCGCUUCAGCAUCUUAUGUUGGUCCAUAUUUGAUCACUGACUUUGUGAAUUUCCUCACCGAGAAGGACAGUCGCGGACUAAAGAGCGGAUACCUUUUGUCGCUAGGUUUCUUAUGUGCUAAAAUGGUUGAGGUUAUAGCUCAGAGGCAAUGGAUUUUCGGUGCUCGGCAAUUAGGCCUCCGCCUAAGGGCCGCAUUGAUAUCACAUGUAUACAAGAAGGGCUUACAUCUGUCAAGCCGAUCGCGUCAAAGUCAUUCUGGUGGUGAGAUAAUGAACUACAUGAGUGUAGAUGUGCAGAGGAUUACGGAUUUCGUUUGGUAUGUAAACGUUAUUUGGAUGCUGCCGAUACAAAUUUCCUUAGCUGUUAUCAUUUUGCAGACAAAUCUUGGAUUAGGUUCAUUGGCUGCAUUAGCUGCUACACUAGCAGUUAUGACUUUGAACAUACCUUUAACGAAAAUACAGAAAAGAUACCAAACCAAGAUCAUGGAUGCAAAAGACAACAGAAUGAAGACCACUUCAGAAAUUCUCAAAAACAUGAGGACUUUGAAAUUUCAAGCAUGGGAUUGUGAGUUUUUCCAAAGGAUAGAAUCAUUGAGAAGUGUUGAAUAUGGUUGGUUAUCAAAGUCAUUAAGACAACAGGCUUUUUCGGCUUUUAUCUUCUGGGGUUCACCUACAUUCAUUUCAGUGAUAACCUUUUGGACAUGCAUGUUCUUAGGUAUUGAUCUGACAGCCGGAAGGGUCUUAUCUGCAUUUGCGACAUUCCGAAUGUUACAAGAUCCUAUUUUUAGUCUACCUGAUUUACUCAAUGUCAUUGCUCAAGGAAAAGUUUCCGUCGAUAGGAUUGCUUCUUUUCUUAAGAAGGAAGAAAUCCAACAUGAUGUUAUUGAAUAUGUUUCUAAGGACAAAACAGAAUUUGAUGUAGUUAUUGAGAAAGGAAGAUUCAGUUGGGAUCCUGAGACAUCAAUUCCAACACUUGAUGAAAUUGAGUUGAUAGUUAAGAGAGGAAUGAAGGUUGCAAUUUGUGGUUCUGUUGGUUCCGGGAAAUCUAGUAUGCUCUCUGGAGUUUUGGGAGAGAUAUUUAAACAAUCAGGGAAUGUUAAGAUUAGUGGAACAAAGGCUUAUGUUCCACAAUCAGCAUGGAUACUUACUGGAAAUAUUAGGGACAAUAUAACCUUUGGAAAAGAGUUUGAUGAAGAUAAGUAUGAAAAAACUGUUGAAGCAUGUGCUUUGAAAAAGGACUUUGAUCUAUUCUCAUGUGGUGAUUUGACUGAGAUUGGUGAAAGAGGGAUUAAUAUGAGUGGUGGACAGAAACAAAGAAUACAGAUAGCUAGAGCUGUUUAUCAAGAUGCUGACAUAUACCUUUUUGAUGAUCCUUUUAGUGCUGUCGAUGCUCAUACUGGCACUCACCUCUUUAAGGUCAGUUUUUCUUUUUCUAUACUUUAAAUUUGUAAAAUAUUUCAUGGUUUAAAGACUUGUUUGAGAAACAAUUACAUUGCUUUAAUGUUUGGUGUUUCAUAUGUUUUCCACAGGAAUGUCUUCUGGGGAUUCUCAAAGAAAAAACUAUACUUUUUGUUACACACCAAGUUGAGUUUCUUCCAGCAGCAGACCUCAUUCUGGUAAAUGAUGCUUGCUUGAAAGUUUGGUUCUAUAUUUAUUUAGUCAAUAAAGAGUAUAUCGAAUUAUGUUGUUGACGAGACUAUAGUCUAUUAAACUAAGAAUUUAAUUCAUAUACACCGUCAGUUUAAAGAUUUUCUACAUUGGCAAUCAAUCUUAAUCCUCAAAUCUUUAAAAACAUUUGGCUUUAAUCAAUAAAUACUUCUAAAGUCAGACAUAUGAUGAUUGGUUGUGAUUUUAUGACGGUGUAAAAUAUAUAAUUUUACUUUGGAUUCAUAUUAUUUAAAAAAGAGCCAAAUGAUUUUACUUUGGAUUCCUUAAUCUUGUUAUACCUCUUCCAUUUUUAUCAUACAUCACACUGUCAUUGAUCCAAAUGAAAACCAGGUGAUGCAAAAUGGAAGGAUUGCACAAGCUGGAACAUUUGAAGAACUUCUAAAGCAAAAUAUAGGAUUUGAAUUAUUAGUUGGUGCUCAUAGCAAAGCACUAGAGUCAGUUCUUACGGUUGGAAAUUCAAGUCAAGCAAAUUUAAAUCCAAUACCUGAAGGAGAAUGCAUCACCUACUCGAACUCAAGUUCUGAACUUUUACACACACAACUUGACACAGUGCAAGAUAAUCCUCCUACAGAAAGCAAAGGAAAUAAUGAUGGAAAAUUGGUUCAAGAUGAAGAAAGAGAAACAGGAAGCAUAUCAAAAGAAGUUUACUGGUCUUAUUUGACAACUGUUAAAGGAGGAAUUCUUAUUCCAAUCAUACUAUUGGCACAGUCUUCUUUCCAAAUACUUCAGAUUGCUAGUAACUAUUGGAUGGCUUGGGUUUGUCCUACAAAAUCUGAUGCUAAGCCUAUAUUUGAUAUGAAUUUCAUACUACUUAUUUAUAUGGUACUUUCUGUUGCUGGUUCCCUUUGUGUUCUCCUGAGAGCCACGUUGGUGUUAAAUGUUGGACUUUGGACAGCACAAACUUUUUUCACAAGAAUGUUGCAUAAUGUGCAACGAGCCCCCAUGUCAUUUUUUGAUUCUACCCCAACUGGAAGAAUCUUGAACAGGGUAAGAAUUCAUAUCUAUUAAUGCUAUCUUUGACUAUCAUUGUUAUUAUUACAAUGCAAUAUUGAACAGUGUUGUCAAUCUUGGAUAGAGGAAAAUAGUGCUAUAGCGUCGCUGUUGCCUCUAUUUGAUAACAUUUUGUACUAAAUAACAUAUCGCCUAACAAUAUCGAUUUGUUCAAAUUCCUCAUAUGCUAUAGCCCUACUAUGGGCACUAUAUAACAACACUGAUAUUGAAAGUCUUACUUUCAGGCCUCCACAGAUCAAGGUGUGCUAGACUUAGAAAUGGCAAAUAAAAUAGGAUGGUGUGCUUUCUCAAUAAUACAAAUUCUUGGCACUAUUGCGGUGAUGUGUCAAGCGGCUUGGCAAGUAUUUAUCAUCUUCAUUCCAGUAACUGCAAUCUGCAUAUGGUAUCAAGUAUGUAUCAUCUCUCUCUCUCUCUCUCUCUCUCUCUCUAUAUAUAUAUAUAUAUAUAUAUAUAUAUAUAUAUAUAUAUAUAUAUGAAAGGACAUAAAACAAGUGUUACUCAUUUGUAAUUCCAAAAUUAAUAUAGAAGAUAUAAUAUUUCAAUUUUGCAAAGCAUAAGCUAUGUGAACCGAAGCUUAUAUUCAAAUUAUAAAUCAAAUAUUUAAAGUAGAUAAAAAUGCUCAUAUUUAAGUUAUUUGAUAAUAAACGAAUCUAGUAAUUUGAAAAGGAGUUUACAUUUCGGGACAAAAAUAAAUUCAAAUGGUUGCUUAGAUAUAGGGACGGAGGGAGUACUUACAAAGAAAUCAGUCUCUUUCUCAUGUCCCUCUCUAUACACCAUUGUUUUAUGAAAUUCUAACAGAAGUUGAAUGAUGUUUAUUUCAGCGAUAUUAUAAUCCGACAGCAAGAGAACUGGCUCGCUUAGCACAGAUACAAAUUACUCCAAUUCUCCACCAUUUUUCAGAAUCUUUAGCAGGAGCUGCAUCAAUACGAGCUUUCGAUCAAGAAGGCCGUUUCAUGAGCACAAAUCUUGUUCUUCUUGAUGGCUUCUCAAGGCCAUGGUUUCAUAACGUGUCUGCAAUGGAAUGGCUUUCUUACAGAUUGAACUUGCUUUCAAAUUUUGUUUUUGCCUUUUCACUUGUCUUUCUAGUGAGCCUCCCUGAAGGUUUCAUAAAUCCAAGUAAGUACAAAUCUUUAUUGAGAAAAUAUCAGUAAUAGACAAUAAAACCAUGUGUUUUGCAAACAUACGAAGUUAUUUUCAUAUAAUUCUCCUCACAUGAAUUGAAAAUGAUCUUACUUUCUUUUCCGGUAUGUUACAGGUAUUGCAGGGUUAGCAGUAACAUAUGGAAUCAAUUUGAAUGUCUUGCAAGCUUCUGUUAUUUGGAACAUUUGCAAUGCAGAAAACAAGAUGAUAUCAGUUGAAAGAAUUCUUCAAUAUACAAAUAUCGCAAGUGAAUCACCUCUUGUGAUUGAAGACUCCCGGCCGCCAAGAAACUGGCCAGAAACUGGAACAAUAUGUUUCCAAAAUUUGCAGGUUUGAUAUAGCAAGAAUUAAGGACACACAAAAUAUGUAAUGAAUCAAGUUUCUAUGUCCAUUUUUUCCUAACAUAUCUUCUACACAAAAUAUUAUGUUACAGAUACGAUACGCUGAACAUCUACCAUCUGUGUUGAAAAAUAUCACUUGCACUUUUCCUGGAAGGAAGAAAAUAGGUGUUGUAGGACGAACUGGCAGUGGAAAAUCAACCCUCAUACAGGCAAUUUUCAGGAUUGUUGAACCAAGAGAGGGAUGCAUUAUGAUUGACAAUGUGGACAUAUGUGAGAUAGGUCUCCAUGACUUAAGGUCAAGGCUCAGCAUUAUCCCACAGGAUCCAGCCUUGUUUGAAGGCACAGUCAGAGGAAACCUGGACCCUCUGGAGCAAUACUCUGACAGUGAAGUGUGGGAGGUAANUAGUUAAAGAAAUGAAUAUCAUCACUUAAUGUCAUGAUUAUCAUUAACUUCCUCUUUCUAAUAACAAAUAGUCAACAUCAUCAUUUCAUUCUGUUUAUAAACAUUGUACAAUUACUGUUAUUAUUAUUGAAAUUAUGGUUAGCUCAAUUAUAGGACCAUGACUGUAAACUAUUAUGUAUAUUUAAGCACAGUUGCUGCAAUGGAAUAUAUAUCACAUUAUUCACCAUUUUCUAUCUUGGUAUCAGAGCUUUAAGCUUGAAAGCUCUCAUCGAUCCAAUCAUGUCAUCCGCUGCCAACACCAACCAGAAAAAUGACCUUCCCACAAUAGUUUCUGUCAAGUUGGACAGAGACAACUAUCCAUUAUGGAAAUCAUUGGUUCUUCCAUUAAUCAGAGGCUGCAAACUUGAUGUCUACAUAUUGGGGACAAAAGCAUGCCCAAAUCAGUUCAUCACAUCAGGUGAAACAACAAAGAAAGCCAAUCCUGACUAUGAUGAUUGGAUUGCUCGAGAUCAAGCACUCCUGGGAUGGCUAAUCAACUCCAUGACAACAGACAUAGCCACACAGUUACUACACUUUGAAACAUCCAAGGAAAUUUGGGAUGAAGCCCAAAAGCUUGCAGGAGCUCAUACAAAGUCAAGGACAAUCUACCUCAAAUCUGAAUUUCAUAAUACUCGUAAAGGGUACAUGAAGAUGGAGUAAUAUCUCAUGAAAAUGAAAACUCUUGCAGACAAUUUGAAACUUGCAGGGUCACCAAUUUCAAACUCUGACUUGAUGAUCCAAAUUCUGAAUGGAUUAGAUGCUGACUAUAAUCCAGUGGUAGUUAAGCUUGCUGAUCUGAUUGAUCUCAGUUUGGUUGAAUUUCAAUCCCAACUACUAGCUUUUGAAAGCAGAAUAGAUCAACUCAACAACUUGAGUGGUCUUACAAUCAAUGCAUCUGCAAAUUUUGCAAGCAAGGCUGAGUAUAGAGGAAACAAACAAGGAACACGAGGCAAUUGGAGAGGUUCCAACUUUAGAGCAAUGAGAGGAGGUGGAGGAAGAGGAAGGAUGCCUAAACUCAUAUGUCAGGUAUGCAAUAAAACUGGUCACACUGCUGUACAAUGCUACCAUCGAUUUGAUAAGUCCUAUACAGGCUCAAAUAACUAUGAUGAGAGUGUAAAACAAGGAACUCAUAGUGCCUUCAUAGCCUCACCCCAUUAUAGUCAAGACUAUGAAUGGUAUUUUGAUAGUGGGGCUAGCAAUCAUGUCACACACCAAAGUGACCAACUUCAAGAUCUUGGUGAGAACAGUGGUAAGAAUUCUCUACUUGUUGGUAAUGGUGAAAAACUUACAAUAUUGGCUUCUGGUUAUACUAAGUUAAAUGAUGUCAACCUGCAUAAUGUAUUAUAUGUGCCUGAAAUCACCAAAAACUUGUUAAGUGUAUCCAAGCUCACUGCUGACAAUAAUGCUAUUGUUGAAUUUGAUAAGAAUUGUUGUUAUGUGAAGGACAAACCGACAGGGAAGGCACUUCUAAAGGGGAGGCUUAAGGAUGGCCUAUACCAACUUUCAACCAAUAAAGAACCAUCAGCCAAUAAAGAUCCAUGUGUUUACAUGUCUCUCAAAGAAAAUUGGCAUAGGAAACUUGGACAUCCCAACAAUAAAGUACUGGAAAAGGUGUUGAAAGAUUGCAAUGUAAAGACAUCACCUAGUGACCAAUUUACAUUUUGUGAAGCCUGUCAGUUUGGCAAACUUCACCUGCUACCCUUCAAAUCCUCUUCCUCUCAUGCUAAGGAACCUUUAGAUUUGAUUCAUACUGAUGUAUGGGGCCCUGCACCAAUUUUAUCUCAAUCAAAUUUUAAAUACUAUGUGCAUUUUAUUGAUGAUUUCAGCAGGUUCACUUGGAUUUUUCCCUUAAAACAAAAAUCAGACACUAUACAUGCUUUCAAUCAGUUCAAAAAUUUAGUUGAAAACCAAUUUGACAAGAAAAUAAAAAUGAUUCAGUGUGAUGGUGGAGGAGAGUUCAAGCCUGUCCAAAAACUUUCCAUAGAAUCUGGUAUCCAAUUCAGAAUGUCAUGUCCAUAUACCUCUCAACAAAAUGGGAGAGCUGAAAGAAAGCAUAGGCAUGUAGCUGAACUUGGAUUAACACUACUAGCACAAGCCAAAAUGCCACUCUCAUACUGGUGGGAAGCCUUCUCUACUGUUGUCUACCUAAUAAAUAGACUGCCAUCAUCUGUGAAUACAAAUGAAAGUCCCUACUCAUUGUUGUUCAAGAAAGACCCUGACAAAACUGCCUUGAAACCUUUUGGUUGUGCCUGCUACCCUUGCCUCAAACCAUACAACCAGCACAAACUUCAAUUUCACACGACUAGAUGUGUAUUCUUAGGGUACAGUAGUUCUCACAAAGGCUACAAAUGUGUCAAUUCACAUGGAAGAAUUUUUGUGUCAAGACAUGUAGUCUUCAACGAAAAUCAUUUUCCCUUCCAGGAAGGUUUUCUGGAUAUAAGAAAUCCUAUCAAAACUGCUACUAAUGAAAUUUCUAUAGGGUUACCUUUUUAUCCUGCAGGUGUUACUACCGACAACACAACUGAGGAAACCAACAAUAUUGUUGAUCACGAAGAGCAAGAAUUAGAUGACAACAACACUAUAGCAGAUCAACCGGUGUUGGGUGGUAGCUCUGAGAAUACACAUGAGAACAAUCUCAGGGAAAGUGACAGUGAAACUGAAGACUCACCAGAAGCAGUUGGAACACCAGAAAACAAUUCACCACCUCAACAGAACAUCAGCAACACACAUUGGAUGAGAACAAGAGGCAAGGAAGGAAUAUACAAGCCCAAACUACCUUACAUAGGGCUUACUGAGGAACUUAAAGAAGACAAGGAACCAGAAAGUGUAAGAGAAGCACAAGUCAGGCCAGAAUGGAAAGAAGCAAUGGAUGCAGAAUACAAGGCUCUAAUGAACAACAAAACAUGGGCAUUGGUACCAUUUCAUGGACAAGAAAAUAUCAUUGAUUCAAAGUGGAUCUACAAAACAAAAUACAAGGCAGAUGGCACAAUUGAGAGGAGGAAAGCGAGACUUGUUGCUAGAGGUUUUCAACAAACAGCUGGAUUGGAUUAUGAUGAAACAUUUAGCCCAGUUGUCAAAGCAAGCACUGUAAGAAUCAUUCUAUCUAUUGUUGUACAUCUCAAUUGGGAAGUUAGACAACUAGAUAUAAAUAAUGCUUUCUUGAAUGGCAACCUCAAAGAAACUGUUUUCAUGCAUCAACCUGAAGGGUACAUAGAUAAAACCAAACCACAUCACAUAUGCAGAUUGACCAAGGCAAUAUAUGGCUUAAAGCAGGCCCCAAGGGCUUGGUAUGACAGUUUAAGGCACACAUUAUUGACUUGGGGAUUUCAAAACACCAAGAGUGACUCAUCUUUGUUUGUUUUAAGGGAGACUAGUCACACUACAUUUCUACUUAUCUAUGUUGAUGACAUAAUAAUCACUGGCAGUAAUAACAAGUUUCUAGAGGCCUUCAUCAAUCAACUUAAUCUUACCUUUUCACUGAAAGAUCUCGGAAACCUUCAUUACUUUUUAGGAAUUGAAGUUCAUAGAGACAACAGUGGGAUGUACUUGAAACAAACAAAGUACACAAAAGAUAUGCUCAAGAAAUUCAACAUGGAAAAUGCAUCAUCCUGCCCUACACCAAUGGUAACCGGGAGACAAUUCACAGCUGAAGGGGAGCCAAUGUCCAAUCCUACACUCUACAGACAGGCUAUAGGUGCAUUACAAUACGUAACCAACAGAAGACCUGACAUAGCCUUUGCUGUCAACAAACUUAGUCAAUACAUGAGCUCUCCAACCACAGAUCACUGGCAAGGAAUAAAGAGAAUACUGAGGUAUCUCCAUGGUACAACAAACCUAGGCUUGCACAUUAAACCAUCAACUGAUCUUGACAUAGCAGGGUUCUCAGAUGCAGAUUGGGCAACAAGCACAGAUGAUAGAAAGUCUAUGGCAGGUCAAUGUGUGUUCCUUGGUGAAAACUUGAUUUCUUGGGCUUCAAGAAAGCAAAAAGUGGUGUCCAGGUCAAGUACUGAGUCAGAGUAUAGAGCCUUAGCUGAUCUAGCAGCAGAAGUGGCAUGGCUCAGGUCACUACUUGCAGAACUCAAAGUGCCAAUACAUAGAAAGCCAGUUUUGUGGUGUGAUAACUUGAGUGCUAAGGCACUAGCUUCCAAUCCGGUUAUGCAUGCCAGGUCUAAACACAUUGAGAUAGACGUUCACUACAUACGUGAUCAGGUCCUUCAAAAUGAAGUCGCAGUUGCUUAUGUUCCUUCUGCAGAUCAAAUUGCAGACUGCCUAACCAAAGCUCUCACUCACACUAGGUUCAACAUCUUGAGGGACAAACUUGGAGUAACAGAGUCACCAUCAGUUUGAGAAGGGGAGUUAAAGAAAUGAAUAUCAUCACUUAAUGUCAUGAUUAUCAUUAACUUCCUCUUUCUAAUAACAAAUAGUCAACAUCAUCAUUUCAUUCUGUUUNUCUGGUAAAUGAUGCUUGCUUGGAAAUUUGGUACUAUAUUUAUUUAGUCAAUAAAGAGUAUAUCAAAUUAUGUUGUUGAAGAGACUAUAGCCUAUUAAACUAUGAAUUUAAUUCAUAUACACUGAGUUUAAAGAUUUUCUACAUUGGCAAUCAAUUGUAAUCCUCACAUCUUUAAAAACAUUUGGCUGUAAUCGAUAACUACUUCUAAAGUCACACAUAUGAUCAUUGGAUUUGAUUUUUGGACAGUGUAAAAUAUAUCAUUUUACUUUGGAUUCCUUAAAUUUUGAUAUACUUCUUCCAUUUUUAUCAUACAUCACACUAUCACUGAUCCAAAUGAAAACCAGGUGAUGCAAAAUGGAAGGAUUGCACAAGCUGGAACAUUUGAAGAACUUCUAAAGCAAAAUAUAGGAUUUGAAUCAUUAGUUGGUGCUCAUAGCAAAGCACUAGAGUCAGUUCUUAUGGUUGGAAAUUCAAGUAAAGAAAAUUUAAAUCCAAUACCUGAAGGAGAAUGCAUCACCUACUCAAACUCAAGUUCUGAACUUUUGCACACACAACUUGACACAGUGCAAGAAAAUUCUCCUACAGAAAGCAAAGGAAAUAAUGAUGGAAAAUUGGUUCAAGAUGAAGAAAGAGAAACAGGAAGCAUAUCAAAAGAAGUUUAUUGGUCUUAUUUGACAACCGUUAAAGGAGGAAUUCUUGUUCCAAUCAUACUAUUGGCACAGUCUUCAUUCCAAAUACUUCAGAUUGGUAGUAACUAUUGGAUGGCUUGGGUCUGUCCUACAAAAUCUGAUGCUAAGCCUAUAUUUGAUAUGAAUUUCAUACUACUUAUUUAUAUGGUACUUUCUGUUGCUGGUUCCCUUUGCGUUCUUCUGAGAGCCACGUUGGUGUUAAAUGUUGGACUUUGGACAGCACAAACUUUUUUCACAAGAAUGUUGCAUAAUGUGCAACGAGCCCCGAUGUCAUUUUUUGAUUCUACCCCAACUGGAAGAAUCUUGAACAGGGUAAGAAUUCAUAUAUGGCAAUGCUAUCUAUGACUAUUAUUGUUAUUAUUGCAAUGCAAUAUUGAACAACGAUUUCAAUCGUGGAUGGAGGAAAAUAGCGGUUCAUUGAAAUUCUCCUAAGCAACAAUGCUAUAGCGUCGCUAUUGCCUGUAUCUGACAACAUUUUGUACUAAAUAAAAUAUUGCCCAACAAUAUAGGUUUGGUCAAACUCCUCAUAUGCUAUAGCCCUACUAUGGGCACUAUAUAACAACACUGAUAUUGAAAGUCUUAAUUUCAGGCCUCCACAGAUCAAAGUGUGCUUGACAUGGAAAUGUUACACAGAAUAGGAUCGUGUGCUUCCUCAAUAAUACAAAUUCUUGGCACUAUUGCGGUGAUGUGUCAAGCGGCUUGGCAAGUAUUUAUCAUCUUCAUUCCAGUAACUGCAAUCUGCAUAUNAUUGAAACUUGCAGGGUCACCAAUUUCAAACUCUGACUUGAUGAUCCAAAUUCUGAAUGGAUUAGAUGCUGACUAUAAUCCAGUGGUAGUUAAGCUUGCUGAUCUGAUUGAUCUCAGUUUGGUUGAAUUUCAAUCCCAACUACUAGCUUUUGAAAGCAGAAUAGAUCAACUCAACAACUUGAGUGGUCUUACAAUCAAUGCAUCUGCAAAUUUUGCAAGCAAGGCUGAGUAUAGAGGAAACAAACAAGGAACACGAGGCAAUUGGAGAGGUUCCAACUUUAGAGCAAUGAGAGGAGGUGGAGGAAGAGGAAGGAUGCCUAAACUCAUAUGUCAGGUAUGCAAUAAAACUGGUCACACUGCUGUACAAUGCUACCAUCGAUUUGAUAAGUCCUAUACAGGCUCAAAUAACUAUGAUGAGAGUGUAAAACAAGGAACUCAUAGUGCCUUCAUAGCCUCACCCCAUUAUAGUCAAGACUAUGAAUGGUAUUUUGAUAGUGGGGCUAGCAAUCAUGUCACACACCAAAGUGACCAACUUCAAGAUCUUGGUGAGAACAGUGGUAAGAAUUCUCUACUUGUUGGUAAUGGUGAAAAACUUACAAUAUUGGCUUCUGGUUAUACUAAGUUAAAUGAUGUCAACCUGCAUAAUGUAUUAUAUGUGCCUGAAAUCACCAAAAACUUGUUAAGUGUAUCCAAGCUCACUGCUGACAAUAAUGCUAUUGUUGAAUUUGAUAAGAAUUGUUGUUAUGUGAAGGACAAACCGACAGGGAAGGCACUUCUAAAGGGGAGGCUUAAGGAUGGCCUAUACCAACUUUCAACCAAUAAAGAACCAUCAGCCAAUAAAGAUCCAUGUGUUUACAUGUCUCUCAAAGAAAAUUGGCAUAGGAAACUUGGACAUCCCAACAAUAAAGUACUGGAAAAGGUGUUGAAAGAUUGCAAUGUAAAGACAUCACCUAGUGACCAAUUUACAUUUUGUGAAGCCUGUCAGUUUGGCAAACUUCACCUGCUACCCUUCAAAUCCUCUUCCUCUCAUGCUAAGGAACCUUUAGAUUUGAUUCAUACUGAUGUAUGGGGCCCUGCACCAAUUUUAUCUCAAUCAAAUUUUAAAUACUAUGUGCAUUUUAUUGAUGAUUUCAGCAGGUUCACUUGGAUUUUUCCCUUAAAACAAAAAUCAGACACUAUACAUGCUUUCAAUCAGUUCAAAAAUUUAGUUGAAAACCAAUUUGACAAGAAAAUAAAAAUGAUUCAGUGUGAUGGUGGAGGAGAGUUCAAGCCUGUCCAAAAACUUUCCAUAGAAUCUGGUAUCCAAUUCAGAAUGUCAUGUCCAUAUACCUCUCAACAAAAUGGGAGAGCUGAAAGAAAGCAUAGGCAUGUAGCUGAACUUGGAUUAACACUACUAGCACAAGCCAAAAUGCCACUCUCAUACUGGUGGGAAGCCUUCUCUACUGUUGUCUACCUAAUAAAUAGACUGCCAUCAUCUGUGAAUACAAAUGAAAGUCCCUACUCAUUGUUGUUCAAGAAAGACCCUGACAAAACUGCCUUGAAACCUUUUGGUUGUGCCUGCUACCCUUGCCUCAAACCAUACAACCAGCACAAACUUCAAUUUCACACGACUAGAUGUGUAUUCUUAGGGUACAGUAGUUCUCACAAAGGCUACAAAUGUGUCAAUUCACAUGGAAGAAUUUUUGUGUCAAGACAUGUAGUCUUCAACGAAAAUCAUUUUCCCUUCCAGGAAGGUUUUCUGGAUAUAAGAAAUCCUAUCAAAACUGCUACUAAUGAAAUUUCUAUAGGGUUACCUUUUUAUCCUGCAGGUGUUACUACCGACAACACAACUGAGGAAACCAACAAUAUUGUUGAUCACGAAGAGCAAGAAUUAGAUGACAACAACACUAUAGCAGAUCAACCGGUGUUGGGUGGUAGCUCUGAGAAUACACAUGAGAACAAUCUCAGGGAAAGUGACAGUGAAACUGAAGACUCACCAGAAGCAGUUGGAACACCAGAAAACAAUUCACCACCUCAACAGAACAUCAGCAACACACAUUGGAUGAGAACAAGAGGCAAGGAAGGAAUAUACAAGCCCAAACUACCUUACAUAGGGCUUACUGAGGAACUUAAAGAAGACAAGGAACCAGAAAGUGUAAGAGAAGCACAAGUCAGGCCAGAAUGGAAAGAAGCAAUGGAUGCAGAAUACAAGGCUCUAAUGAACAACAAAACAUGGGCAUUGGUACCAUUUCAUGGACAAGAAAAUAUCAUUGAUUCAAAGUGGAUCUACAAAACAAAAUACAAGGCAGAUGGCACAAUUGAGAGGAGGAAAGCGAGACUUGUUGCUAGAGGUUUUCAACAAACAGCUGGAUUGGAUUAUGAUGAAACAUUUAGCCCAGUUGUCAAAGCAAGCACUGUAAGAAUCAUUCUAUCUAUUGUUGUACAUCUCAAUUGGGAAGUUAGACAACUAGAUAUAAAUAAUGCUUUCUUGAAUGGCAACCUCAAAGAAACUGUUUUCAUGCAUCAACCUGAAGGGUACAUAGAUAAAACCAAACCACAUCACAUAUGCAGAUUGACCAAGGCAAUAUAUGGCUUAAAGCAGGCCCCAAGGGCUUGGUAUGACAGUUUAAGGCACACAUUAUUGACUUGGGGAUUUCAAAACACCAAGAGUGACUCAUCUUUGUUUGUUUUAAGGGAGACUAGUCACACUACAUUUCUACUUAUCUAUGUUGAUGACAUAAUAAUCACUGGCAGUAAUAACAAGUUUCUAGAGGCCUUCAUCAAUCAACUUAAUCUUACCUUUUCACUGAAAGAUCUCGGAAACCUUCAUUACUUUUUAGGAAUUGAAGUUCAUAGAGACAACAGUGGGAUGUACUUGAAACAAACAAAGUACACAAAAGAUAUGCUCAAGAAAUUCAACAUGGAAAAUGCAUCAUCCUGCCCUACACCAAUGGUAACCGGGAGACAAUUCACAGCUGAAGGGGAGCCAAUGUCCAAUCCUACACUCUACAGACAGGCUAUAGGUGCAUUACAAUACGUAACCAACAGAAGACCUGACAUAGCCUUUGCUGUCAACAAACUUAGUCAAUACAUGAGCUCUCCAACCACAGAUCACUGGCAAGGAAUAAAGAGAAUACUGAGGUAUCUCCAUGGUACAACAAACCUAGGCUUGCACAUUAAACCAUCAACUGAUCUUGACAUAGCAGGGUUCUCAGAUGCAGAUUGGGCAACAAGCACAGAUGAUAGAAAGUCUAUGGCAGGUCAAUGUGUGUUCCUUGGUGAAAACUUGAUUUCUUGGGCUUCAAGAAAGCAAAAAGUGGUGUCCAGGUCAAGUACUGAGUCAGAGUAUAGAGCCUUAGCUGAUCUAGCAGCAGAAGUGGCAUGGCUCAGGUCACUACUUGCAGAACUCAAAGUGCCAAUACAUAGAAAGCCAGUUUUGUGGUGUGAUAACUUGAGUGCUAAGGCACUAGCUUCCAAUCCGGUUAUGCAUGCCAGGUCUAAACACAUUGAGAUAGACGUUCACUACAUACGUGAUCAGGUCCUUCAAAAUGAAGUCGCAGUUGCUUAUGUUCCUUCUGCAGAUCAAAUUGCAGACUGCCUAACCAAAGCUCUCACUCACACUAGGUUCAACAUCUUGAGGGACAAACUUGGAGUAACAGAGUCACCAUCAGUUUGAGAAGGGGAGUUAAAGAAAUGAAUAUCAUCACUUAAUGUCAUGAGUAUCAUUGACUUCCUCUUUCUAACAACAAAUAGUCAACAUCAUCAUUUCAUUCUGUUUAUAAACAUUGUACAAUUACUGUUAUUAUUAUUGAAAUUAUGGUUAGCUCAAUUAUAGGACCAUGACUGUAAACUAUUAUGUAUAUUUAAGCACAGUUGCUGCAAUGGAAUAUAUAUCACAUUAUUCACCAUUUUCUAUCUUGCAUUAGGUUGAAAUGGACAUAAAAAAUGAGAUCGAAAUUAUUUGACAUUCAUUAGGUUAAUCCAACCAUCAACUUCAUUGAUCAAGUUUGCCAAAGGAAACAACACCAUCUUAUGCAUCACUAGUAUAAACCUUGAAAAGGAACAUAUAUUGACAAUAUAUUUCUAUGAUGAACUUGAGGUUUUAGACCUUUGUACAAAUAGGCAUCAUGGUCUAUUUCUGAUCCUUAUCUAAAAAUUUAAAACACUUAGAAAACUUUACAUUUGUAAAAAUUACAUGUCUGUUGAAAUUCCACAAGAGAUUGGUAAAUUAACAUCAUUUGAAGACUUAGUGACUUGUAAUAACUUGGGGUUUUUCUGCUUCUCUUUAUUAGGUGCUCAAUUUUUAUAAUUAGAACUUCAAAUUGUUUAAAGCGGUCCUUUAUACAAGUCUCAGCUUAUUGUUAUAUCACUUAUGUUGAUUUCUCUUGUUUUUCUAACAUUGUAGGCAUACAUGGUGGAAUUACAUAAAAAUGCUUUGAAAAAUCUCAUGUUGCCUAAGAAUGCGGUAAUGAUCCAUAUGUUGCCUGUAUUUUUUUGAAAUGGCAAAUUUAUUACGACGAGGAUUGCAAGGCGCAAAACACUCACGAAAAAAUGAAGAAAUAAAUACAAAUGGCGCUGUAAAUACACGGGACACCAACAAUCCAAACACCCAAAACAAAACAAAAUAAUGAGACCGAAGUAUACCACCGGAACAUUAAAACACCGGAAGCAUACCCUGCCUCAAAAAUAUGUUGCUCGUAUAAUUUUCAAUUGCUAAACAUUUAUGGUUCACAAUUGAUUAUGUAGAAUGAUUAAAAGUUGUUUAUCUAUAUGAUAUGAUGUUUGUCGAACCAAAGCUUUCAAAACAUGCACAAAAUCAUGUCAUGAUUUCUCCAAAACUCUUCCUCAAUAGAAUUCAACACUACUAGAAAAUAUUUUUUUUCAUUCAAAAAAAAAAAACAGUUCAUUAAAUAUAUAAUAUUUGAUUGAUAAUUUUUAUCUUUCAACUCAAUGUCUUUCUUUUUAUUAAUUUAAAAUAUAUUUUUAUUAUUUUAUAAUAUUUAUAAUUUAUUAAAUCUAUAUUUUUUUUAGGGGAAUCAAUAUUAUUAUUCUCUUUUUUAAUUUAUUUUUUUGUUCUUUCGUAAUGAAAUACUUAUUUUUAUUUAUUCUUAUUCUCUUUUUAUCAUAUAUACUUUUUUAGAGGUUGUCAUGUCUAUGUUUUGUUUUUCCCUAAAAAAAAAAAAAUGUCUAUGUUUUGUUAAGCAUGUUAAUUUUUUUUUUUCCUUUUCACUUUAUUUUCUCUAUCUUUCUUUCAUCAACCCAAUACAAUAUAAAGAAUUUAGGAGCUAACUUGUCCCGAUUUAUUUUUUCUUUCUCAAGGAUUAAAAAUUGUUUUUGUUUUUACUAUGGACUAAAUUGUGUCUCAUAGUUUUUCUUGGAGACUAAAAUGAUUCUUAACUUAACAGUUUAAAACCGGGUGCUAAAAACAACUUUUUAGUUAGGGUUUAACUUUAUGAUUUAUUAUAUUUUGCAAAAAAUUAACUUUAUGAUAUAUGUAUUUUUUAUUGAGAAAACUUUAAAACCUUUAUGUGUUUAUUCUAUCAUAAUUUUAAUUUAAAAAUUUCAAGUGGCCAAAAUCAGACGCACCAAACAUGUUGAAAAUUUCACAUGAUUAGUCUUAUCUCCAUAUAUUCCCUAAAAAAAAAACAAAAGUCUUAUCUCCGUAUAUGACAACUCCUUUUUUUUCAUUAACCAUUGCUGAAAAAAGAAAAAAAAAAUUUAGGUAUAUUUUCUUAUAUGUUUUUCAUAUGAAUCUUAACUAAACUACUCACGAUUUUUUAAAUCCACAACUUUCUUAAAGUUUGUUAUAGCCACAAAUAUAUGGUUUUAGUUAAAAAUCAUAAAAAAAAAACACAUAAGAAAUACAUCUAAGUUAUGUUCUUUUUUUACAAAGAAAAUGACUCCAUUUAUUAACUACUUGCUUUAGUUUUUUUUAACCGUAGUAAUACGGGAUUUCUCAAUCAUUCCCUGAAUUUACAUUAAAAAAUAUAAAUUUAAAAAACUCCUCGACAAGUUUAAGAGCCAAACCCCAAAUCAAAACUAAACUUUCAGGGUCACGUUGCUUUGCAUACUCUUUCAAUAUAAACAAACACCUAACUUUAUCCAUAUAUCGUGACAAAAUAGAUAGCGUAAAUCUUAGUCUAGUUUAUGAUUUUUUUGAAGGAUAGUAUAGCUUAUGGUUGAGUAGUACCGGUUCACCACCUCUCACACUUCUCAUCUUUAAAAUAAUCUCAAAUCACUUUCCAACCAUAAAGCUUAAUAUUUCUCAUCUAAAUAAAUUUUUAAAUGUGUUGUGUAUAUUACAAUCGCUCCAAUAUAAUAUAAGAUAAAUCUUCUUUUUUAAGAAGUUAAAAUAGAAUUUCAAUAACCAAACUUCUUUGAUUGCCCCACAAAAGUAAGUCCUGAUCAAUAUUUACAAAUUCAUGCACCACUACAUCUUAUUAUUAUUUUAUUUUUUUUGAAUAAAGAAAUUAGGAAAUUAAUUCCGAGAAAUACAAGUUAUGGACUUGAGCUGGAACUUUUUCCACCCAAAUCUUAUUAGGGUCAGUGAUAGCUAAUUGGGCUAGUCCAUGAGCUACACCAUUACCACUUUUUCCACCACUGCAUCUUAUUAUUAUUUCAACAUAAAGAACUAUAUCAGAAUGCAUUAUUUGUAUGAACAUUUCACUUCUAGCAGUGGCGGAGCCCUUCAUGAGCUGUGGCCCACUCGGAAAAAUUAAAAAAUCAACGAUUAUAGGUCUAUUUUGCGAGAUUUUAUACAAUUUUGUGUUGGUUUUAUGUUUUGGUUGAUCCAAAUUCAUGCAAAGUGGUGUAAUGGCCCACCCGAAAAUUUAAAUAAUUCAAUUAUAGGUCUAUUUUGCGAUAUUUUAUACAAUUUUAUGUCGGUUUUAGAUUUCGGUUGAUCCAAAUUCCCGCAAAUUGGUGUAGUGGUUCACCCGAAAAAUUUAAAUAAUUCAGUUAUAGAUCUAGUUUGCGAGACUUUAAACAAUUUUUCAAUAGUUAAUUUUAGUGGCCCACCCUGACAUUUUUUUCUGACUCCGCCAUUGACUUCUAGUGAGUGUUUUUAUCCCCUUUGUCUGUUUUUGGCUCCUCGGUUCCAAAGUCUAAACCUUGGAAAGACUUUUGUGUUUUAGUUGGUAAAUGGAGAUUUUCAAGAUUUGAUAAAAUGAUUGUUGUAUCUAUUGUGUGGCUUUUAACUUUAGCUAUUUAGCACCGACUUUUCAAUUAAAAGAUGUGUUUGGUGUCCAAAACCGACACAUUUUAUUCAACCAUUUUACUUACUCAAAUUAUUAUAGUACAAGCAUGUUAGUUUUAUGUCCGUAUGUCUAUGUUGAUGUUUAACAUUAUUGAACAAAAUGAGCAAGUGAAUGAGUUUGUAUAUGAGAGUAACAUUUAUACCCAAGAUACACAUAAAGCAAAUGUUGCAACUUGCAAGGAUAUUAACAAAUAGUAACAAUUGAAUCAUAUGGCAACAUUAAUUCAGGGUAGGAAACUUCAUUGAACAUCUUUGAUGACUGUAUAUCACCCGGUCACAAUUUUAAGCAAAUAUUAUUUUUUCAGAUUCAUUGAAUAACUGAUGUAUAUGAACUAUCAUAUGGUUUAGAUAUAUCAUAUGGUUUGGAUACAUCAAUUGUUUAAUGAAUUAAAAAAAAUUGUUUAAAAUACGAAUACAAGAAAUGUUUAGGAAGACAUCAAAAGAUCCAAGAAACAAUUCAAAAAGAGAGAGAAAAAAAUAAGGGACAACCAAGGAGAAGGGAAAAAUUAAAUUACAGCAGUGAGACACAUCAAAGGGUUUUGCCUCCAAACAUUGUAGUGAAAAUCGAAUGAGACAAAAUACGAUUUAAACCACUAAAACACUGGAACUUUAACCUGCUCAAUGGUGGAAUGAAUAGUCUCGUCAUUAUGUUGAAAAAUAUGCAUGUUUCUCUCUUUCCAGAUAACGCAAACAACUGCUAACCAAAUCAUCUUGAAAGCUAAACAAAUGUUUUUCGAAAAACCUCCCUAACCAUAUAAGUGAUGAAGAUGCGAUAAAAUGUUGCGAGAUGAUGCCGAGCAAAUCCUAACCAGCCACAAAUCAAAUUUAUCAAAUAUUACCAUAAAAAACACAAGUGACAAACAUAUGAUAUCUAUCCUUGUAUACUCAAAAGCCUGUGUUAUCUUAAUAAUUCUCAACAUGUGCCACAACCUAGGGUUCUUAAUAAUUCUCCUAUUUCUUCAAAAUUUCUACCGAUUGUCAUGCCCACCAAUUAUUUGUUCAUCUAGCUUGUUUUUCCCAAAAUAAAGAUCAAAGACGAAGUCACUAAAGUGAAAGAAAUAUAAACCAAUUUUUAUUUGAUCACAAACCUAAAUAUAAAGGUUUUAGGCGCACACAUAGGUGAAUAAAAAUAAAAAGAAUUAAACAAGGUAUAUUUUUUAAAUAAAUAAACAAUAUAUUUGAUGUAUGUGUAUCUAAAUCAUCUUUACUUGGGCUUGUACCUUUGUAAGUAUUUCUCAAGGAAUAUGAUUCUCAAAGAUAAAAAGAAAUAUACAAUGUGAUUUCUAAUCUUUUUAGUUUUUACAAAUCGACGUAGAACAAAAAGUAUGUAUUUUUUUCUUUUUUUUGAAUCGGCAAAGAUUUAUUAACCAAUAAAUCUGUGCAAGAUGCACUAAUAAGUUUGGGUGAAAAAAAAAACAAUUACAAAGAAAAAUCGAUUGCCAUAGUAAUACCGACUCGAACUAAAACCUCUUAAAAAAUCACCCUCAAAGAAAGGAACAAAAAGUAUGUAUAUAAAAUGUGAGUUUUCUUUAUUUAUUAUCAUUUUUUGCAAUUUAAAAGAUGACAGCCUAUAACAAAGUCAUAUAAAGAGGACCAUGGAGGGACCUAAGGGCCACAUGGACCCCUAAUUUGAUUCUACAAAAUUGACUUUUAAAAAUUAUUUUAGUCAUUAGAUUAAUUUGAAAACACCAUCUUAUCAUACACUUGUAACACUGGAUUAUUUCUUUUACACCUCCCACCACCCUUCUCUCUCCUCCCGACCACCAACAACAUCAAAACACACCACCAAUUCUCCUCCCACCACGCCAGCUUUGCAAUAGCUUGAAUGACACAGAUCUUCUCAAACAACUCUCAUUCAUGAAUCUCCGAGUAUCUUCUCCAACAUUAUAGUUUUUUAAUUAAUUUUUCAUAUGAUUUAACUAUGGUUUGAAAAUUAGAGUAAACAAACUAAAAUAGUGAAUCGAUCUUCUCCUCUUGUGAAAUCAAUUUAACAUUGCAGCUGCUUCUAUGUGGAACACACUGCCAUACACAAACUCAAUUAUAAGAAAAAUUGGAAUCUGCAAUUUUCAUGAAGAAAAUAAAAAUUGAAGUCUACAAGCAUCUAGCCACCCACAAUUUGAUUGAAAAACAAAGAGUACUUGAAGCUUUGUGAGGACUGUGUUCCAUUACAAUUCUCUAAAUUUCACCAUAAACCAAAACAAAAACUUAAUUUUAAUUAUUACUUGUUUCGAUUGAUAUGAUGUGUAAAUCUGCGAUUUUAUUACCUGUGAGUAGAUUUGGUGAAGAAGAAAGUUGGAUGUUUUUGUGAGAGGUGUGAUUUUGAAUUGCUGCGGAAGAGAAAUGAAGGUAAGUCAUGCUUUGUUUCACACACUUAAAGAGGUUUCAAUUAUUGGUGGUGUUUCUUUGAAGGUGGUUGCUGGUUGUGGGAGAUGGAGCCUGGAGGGAGACGGCCACAAAGCUGGGAGCAAGAUGAGAAAAAUUUGGAAAGUGAAGCUAUUGAGAUCAGAUGUGGGAGAACAUGAUAAGCUUUAAUAGAAAUGCACAAUCUAACCAUUUAUCUUGUGUGACCCAUGGUGGGAAGGUUUUAUACCUUCCCAUGUGAAAUGCCACCAAUAAAUAAAUAUGAGAAGUAGUAGUUUUUUAUAGAUUUUUUAGCAUCUUGGAAAAUCAAAAUAAAACAAAAGUAGGGGGAGGUUUCAAUUUAAGACGAUAGUCAUAGUACCACUUGUCAAAUUAUAAAUUGGUUUUUCCUUAAAAAAAAUAUAUAAAUUGGUUUUGUUUGUUAGCGAGCAAAAUAUUGUACUUUAAAAUGUGCACAUUAGCGGUGAUCCCAAACAUGUCUUAGGUCCUGUUUAGAUAAAUAACUUAUAUUGAUGCUUAUAACAUUAGAGCUUAUAGCACUAGAGCUUACAUCAUAAGCUCUUAUACUCAAUAAGCUCUUUAUGUUUGGAUAUGUACACUAAAAAGUACUUACAUAAAUUGAAGUGUUUGGAUGUAUCAUUAUAUAAGCAAUUAUGAAAUGAUAAAAUAUUUUUGGUUUAAAUUAGAGAAUUAAACCAUAAUUUUUGUAAGGAAUUAACCCACGAUUAUAAAGUUGUAAAAAGAACAAUAUUGAAAUAUAGUAAUAAUUUUAACAUGCAUAUAAAAAAGAGUUAAAUAAGCUUUUUGGCCCUAUAAAUAAAUAUAGUCAAUUUUAUUUUUUAGUCCUCAUAAAAAUAUGACAUGUUUUGGUCCCAAUAAAAAAAUUCAGCAAAUAGUUUUAGUCAGUUAAAUUAAAAUUUCUUUAAUUAUGAUUAAACUUUGAAAUUUUUGAAUGUUUUUUUCAUACUUGUUUAGAACAUUAUAAUAAGUUCCUCCACAAAAAAAUGUACUCAAAAAUUGAUUUUUAAACCAAAAUUUUACUAUUUUUAUCUUGAAAUUUUGAUGUUUAAAAAAAUCAUAUUUAAUUCUUUACAUGAUAAAAAGUUAUAAUUUUUGGGAAAAGAGUUUUUUUAUAAUAUUCUUAACAAGUUUGUCAAAAAACUUUAAAAAAUUUAAAAGUUUAAGCAUAAAUUCACAAAUUUUAAUUUAAUAAGGACUAAAAUUAUGUGCUGGAAAUUUUAUGGGGACCAAAAUAUGUCUCUUUUUUUUAUUAGGACUAAAUAAAAUUAGAUAUAUUUAUAGCGAUCAAAAAUUAUUUUACCUUAUAAAAAAUCAUCAAUAUUCAAAUAGAAGAAAAUUAACAUUAGUGGUGUAUAUAAAUAGUGUAAACAUCACCAUUCUUAAUAAGUGUUCCUUCAAAAAAAAUUCUUAAUAAGUGUAAUAAUGUAAAUACCCUUUUAAAAAAAUAUAACUAUGCAAAUAUAAAAGUAAGAAAUAACUAAGGCUUAAUUGCACUUUUGGACCCCUAUCUUUUCAAAAGUUGCGGUUAUGGACCCCUAACUAAUUUAAAUACAAAACAGCCCCUUAUGUUUUGAUUCUUUGGCAGUUUUGGACCCCCAGUCCAUUGUUGACUCAGUCAACGCUGACGUGGCACCCUAAGUGAGGUGCCACGUGUCAAUUUUUUUAUUUAUUUUUUGCUUUAGGGGUCCAAAACUGCCAAAGAAUCAAAACAUAGGGGGCUGUUUUGUAUUUAAAUUAGUUAGGGGUUCAUAACCACAACUUUUGGAAAGAUAGGGGUCCAAAAGUGCAAUUAAGCCAAUAAUUAAACAUAGGUAAAAGUUUCAUAGUCUUAUAUCAUUGUUGAAAAAGUCUUUAUUUUCUUGUUGAUUGUUAUGUGUGUUACUGUACUUACAUAAAGAUAAAAAAAGAUAACUAUAUGACUAAUCACAACAAAAGAUAAUUAUACAAUAAAUAAAAACAGGCUUUGGAAAAAAUUGCAACGAGAAUCGAAGCACGUCUCCUUAUUUGUAUAAGCUGCGUAAUAAGCUAUAUGUUAAGCUUAAAAUUUAGGCUUAUCAAAAUAUGAUAUAAGCAGCUUAUGAAAUUGUGAUAAGCUGUUUUUAUUGAUUUACCCAAACACCUUUAAAAAAGCUUAUGUUAGUAGAUAAAUCCAUAUAAGCUCCGAAUAAGCCAAUCCAAACGGGGCCUUAUUCUAUUUUUUAUUUUCUAUUUAAAGAGAAAUUAUUUAUGUUAAAGUCAACUCAAUUAUUGAUGAAGGGGUAAUGAAGAGUUUAAAAAUGGGACAAUAAUAAAUUAUCUCUUGAGAAACUAUUUUUCAUAUAUGUCAUUGUCUAAUUAGGUGUCAUUGAUUUCAAUUUUACAGAAAAAAACAAUUUGGAAUUCUAGAGUAAUGUUAAAAGUGAUAAAGACUAAUGAGGUAAUAUUCAGUAAAACCAAAGGAGGCACAAUCACAUUUCUAAUAUUUUUACGUCUAAACUUUUUUCAAAAAAAUAAAAAAAAAUACUCUACGUAUAAUCUAAGUUUUUUUUUUGCCGGAGUUUGAAUCUCGGACCUUGCAUAUGUUAUGCACCGUCUCUAUCAAUUGAGCUUAAGUCACGAGGACAUAAUCUACGCUAUUUGAAAUGAUUUAAUUUGUUUAUUGAAUACAGCAAAAAAAAAAAAAAAAACAAUCCAAGAUGUAGAAGAAAAAUUAGUAUUUUAGAAAAGAAAAAUGAGCUGUCUUUGAUAUUUCAAACAAGGAUUAUACCAAAUUAACAAUAAUAAUUUUAGUUUUAGGAAACUACUUGGUAGUUCAUGCCAAAUACUAUUAAACGUUCAAUUAGUCUUUUUAGUUCAAUUAGUUUUAUACUUUACUUGGCUCAAAACUAAGAUAUUCUAUGAUUUUUAGAGAUUUGGAUUGUGUGCAGUCACAACUUCUUAUUAUACAUGAACACUCAAAUGAUCCACAUUUAAAGUUUGGUGUUUUACAUUCCUUACAAAAAAAAAAAAAAAUUGGUAUUUUAGAUUAUAAAGAAUCAAAAUAUGUAUUGAAAUUUAGAUGUGAGUCACUGAGUGCCUCUCACACUACACACAAUCCAAAUCGAAGUUUGAUUUAGAUACCCUAUACACCUCACUUUGUGUAGUCUCAAUACUACUUUUGCUUGAACUAUAUCCUCAAUUUCUUAGGAGUUUGAUAUCGCUCUUCAUUUGGCUUUGACAGAGCUAAGAAGUUUUUCAUGGACUACAUGGCAACCAUUAGUCUGACAUGCUUGUUGGAACAUGUAACUUUACCUCUAGAAUUUGGCUUUCUUGUGAUAUUGUUAGUCCAACUCCUAAGAAAUUGCAUGAACAACAUCACCAAGCAAAACAAGGUCUCAGAAGUGC